AAGGGCUUAGCUUAAUUAAAGUGUUUGAUUUGCGUUCAAUUGAUGUGAGGUAGUGUCUCGCAGUCCUUA
This 69-nucleotide transfer RNA is filed under the name Procavia capensis (Cape rock hyrax). RNAcentral's name for it is "tRNA-Ala". It matches the Rfam family "tRNA". Rfam says of the family: Transfer RNA (tRNA) molecules are approximately 80 nucleotides in length. Their secondary structure includes four short double-helical elements and three loops (D, anti-codon, and T loops). The record is from RNAcentral. Lineage: Eukaryota; Metazoa; Chordata; Mammalia; Hyracoidea; Procaviidae.